UAGAGAUGAAAGCCCAAUAUGGACUUAGCGCGGAAGCUAGAAGACAGAAACGAAAUGAACAACUCACAACUGAAGACACAAGGAUUUACGUGGUUCGGAGGUUGGCCUCCUAUGUCCACGGGCGGCGAUGAAAAAUUCCACUAGAUGUAGAAGAAGUACAGAAUAACACUCCCCAGAACCCAGAAUAUAGACCUCUAAUCUUGGCCCUCAAAGAACUCACUAGUCCCUCACCAACAAGUAGAGAUCACUCUAUUGGAAACUCACUCCCAACCCUCUGGUCACUGGUGCUACUACUGAUGCUACAUGUGAGAUGAGAAGAGAUGGCCUCUAUUUAUAGACCUCCUAGAACCGCCUCAGGAAACGUGCCAGUGACUCCUCGGGAAACAUGCAGACGGUUUCCUCCUUGAAGCUGGAACGGUUUAGCUGAACCGUUUCCCUUCUAGUUCGGCCUGCUCGUUACUGGGCCGUUGAGAAGCGUGAGAAGCGGUCCACAUCGUGGGCCAUUUCAAAUGUCUCACCUUCUCUCUCUCUUCUCUCUCUCUCCUCCGCAUUUAAUGCGGUCUUCUCUGCUGCCGUUUGAGCUGACAUGACGUGGCCUUGAUGAGCCAUGUGCCCAACAACCUCUCCCUUCAGCUCAUAAGGGAGAUCGUCUUCAUGAUCCUCAAGGAGCGUGCAUGCCGAUCAAUUGUCGGUAGAUCUCUUGCCUCUCUUUAGGUAGAGUCUUGGUCAACAUAUCUGCUCCAUUGUCAUCUGUGUGAAUCUUCUUGAUCUGUAAUUGCUUCUCUUCAAUUAUAUUCCUGAUCCAGUGGUAACGCACAUUGAUAUGCUUCGACUUCGAAUGAAAUGUGGGAUUCUUACUCAAAUGAAUAACACUUUGACUGUCGCAAAAAACCACAUACUCCUCUUGCAUCUGUCCUAAUUCUCGUGAGAAUUCUUCCAUCCAUAGCAUUUCCUUACAAGCUUUAGUGACAGCAAUAUAUUCAGCCUCUAUUGUUGACAAAGCAACACAUUUUUGUAACCUGGAUUGCCAUGACACAGCUCCCCCUGCAAAGGUAAUCACAUAGCCUGAAGUAGAUUUCCAUGUGUCAAUAUCUCUGACCAUAUCAGCAUCUGUAUAUCUUGCCAAUAUAGGGACAUCAUCUCCAAAGCUUAGACAAACUUUAGAGCUCCCUUUGAGAUAUCUAAAUAUCUACUUUACUGCUGCCCAGUGCUCCUUUCCUAGAUUUGUAAGAAAUCUGCUAGUAACACCCACUGCAUAUGCGAUGUCUGGUCUUGUACAUACCAUUGUAUACAUCAAACUCCCAACAGCUGAAGCAUAAGGUACUCUCUUCAUCUUCUCCUUCUCCUCAUCACUUGAUGGACUUUGUUCUGCACAAAGUUUAAAGUGAUUUGUCAAAGGAGAACCAACAGGUUUUGCAGAAUGUAUACCAAACUUGUCUAGCACCUUCUCGAUAUAUUUUUCUUGUGACAACCAAAUCUUCUUAGCCUUCCUGUCACAAAAAAUCUGUAUACUAAGUAUUUGUUUUGCUGGCCCCAUGUCCUUCAUAGCAAAUGACUUGUUUAGCUCUUUCUUCAACUUAUUAAUUGUUGACAAAUCUUUUCCAAAGAUAAGCAUAUCGUCAACAUAUAAUAAGAGAAUCACAAAACUCUUAUCAAGAUUCUUGAUGUAUGCACAAUGGUUUGUAAAAGUAUGUUUGUAUCCAUUUUGAUUCAUAAAUGAAUCAAACUUCUUAUACCAUUGUCUAGGCACUUGCUUUAGUCCAUACAAACUCUUCUUCAAUUUGCACACAAGAUGCUCUUUUCCUUUUAUCUUGAAGCCUUCUGGUUGCUCAAUGUAAAUCUCUUCCUCCAAGUCACCAUGAAGGAAUGUUGUCUUUACAUCUAACUACUCGACCUCCAAGUCCAUAUUGGCAGCCAUACCUAGAACAACACGGAUAGAAGACAUUUUCACAACUAGAGAGAAUAUUUCAUCAAAGUCAAUACCUUGCACUUGGUUGAAGUCUUUGACAAUUAAUCUGGCCUUGUACUUCGGCACUGAAGUAUGCUCUUGAGUCUUCAAUCUAAAAACCCACUUGUUCUUCAAUGCUUUCUUCUCCUUAGGUAGCUCCACAAGAUCAUGUCUGGUUUUUCUGCAGUGCUUCCAUUUCUUCAUGCAUAGCUGUCAACCAUUCCUUAGUAUGCUCACUUUUCAAUGUCUCCUGGUAACUUUCUAGUUCACCUGCAUCAGUAAGCAUAAUAUAUUCUUCUUGUGGAUAUCUUCGUGAAGGUUAAUGUUGUCUACUAGACCUUCUAAGAUGAGGCUCUGUUGGAGGUAGCUCUCCUCCUUGCUCCUCUUCUUGUCUUGUAGGUAAAUCUGCAUCAGCUUCGGCCCUUUCUUCUUGCAAUUCUCCCCUUCCAUCAUUGUGCUCAUGAUGGAUGACUUGGUCAUAAUCUAUAAAUACUUCUGUAGAAUCUUUGACCUUUGGAACUUUCUUUAUAUCUUCAAUAUUUUGAUCUUCAAAGAAAGUUACAUCUCGGCUUCGGAACACUUGUUGCUUCACUGGAUCCCAUAAUCUGUAACCAAACAUGUCACAUGGAUAUCCAAGAAAAAUACACUCCUUUGUCUUCCCAUCCAAUUUGGACCUUUUCACGUCAGGAACAUGUGCAAAUGCUCGACAACCAAACACUCUCAAGUGCUUAUAAGAAACAUCUUUUCCUGUCCAUAUAUUAUUUACAACAUUUCCAUCUAAAAGCAUACAUGGAGAUAGGUUAAUGAGAUCAAUAGCUGUCCUUAAUGCUUCAUCCCAAAAUCUUUUGGGUAAUUUGGCAUGUGAAAGCAUACUCCUGAUCUUCUCCAUAAUAGUGCGAUUCAUCCUCUCUGCAAUAGCAUUGUGUUGAGGAGUGCUUGGGACUGUCAUUUCAUGAAUAAUACCUUGCUUCCUGUAAUAUUCAUCAAAUAAGCUCAUAUAUUUACCACCAUUAUCAGAUCUUAUGUAUUUCAGCUUUCUAUCAGUCUCCCUCUCCACCUUGACAUGAAAUUCCUUGAAGACGUCAAUAACUUGAUCUUUAGUCUUCAAAGGAUAUGCCCAAACUUUCCUGGAAUGGUCAUCAAUGAAGGUGACAAAGUAUAAUGUACCACUAAUGCCAUGAACAUCAAUAGCACCAUCAGCCGUCUUUGUCUUCAAUGGACCACACACGUCUGUAUAGACUCGCUCCAAAACAUGCAACUUUUUAGGCAAAGGUGGACUAGAAAAAGAAACUCUGUGUUGUUUGCCAGCCAAGCAAUCAAUACAUGGGUUCAAACGAAUACCUUUAAACUUGGGUAGGACUUCCUUCCUUGAGAGAGCUUGCAAUCCCUUCUCACUCAUGUGUCCUAGCCUCUUAUGCCACAAUUCCAUACUAGAAUCCUUUUCUGUAGUAUUUAUCUGAUCACCACAGCCUGCAGCCUGCAUUCUGUAUAAGGUAUUGUAUUUCUUUCUAGAAGCUACAAUAAGUGAACCCUUAGUUAUUUUCCAGUCACCUGUACCAAACUUGCCAUGAAAGCUAUCGUCAUCAAGCAUUCCAACUGAAAUUAAAUUCAGUCUUAAACCUGCCACAUGUCUCACAUUCUUCAGUACCAAUUCAUAACCAAGAUUGGUCCUGAUGUGGAUAUCACCGAUACCAAUGAUGUUUGCUGUCCCUUCGUUGUCCAUCUUGACAACUCCUAAGUUUCCAGCUUUGUACUUGGCAAAGUACUCUUUCCUUGGUACGGCAUGGUACGAGGCUCCUGUAUCAAUGAUCCAUUCUGAAUCUUUGUCAACACAAGAAAAAAUUUCGUCAGUAGUAGACAAAAUCAAAUAAUCACCACUUUGAACAGUGACCACGGUGUUCCCUUUUGAUUCUUCAUUGUCUACAUCUUUUUCCUUUUUCUUAUUCUUCUUGGGCUGCUUGCACUGAUUCUUGAAGUGUCCUUUUUCACCAUAGUUGUAACAAGUAAUCUCCUUCCUUGAUCUUGACUUGCUUCUACCUUUUGAGUGACUUUUAUCUCUUGACUUUGACUACCCUCUAUUUUCUGUGACGAGUGCUUGUGCUUCACUAUGAGAACUGGUUGAGUUUUUCCGUCUCAACUCCUCAUUGAGUAAGCUACUUGUUACUUGACUCAUGGUGACAACAUCAUCUGGUGCAGAAUUGAUGAGGGACACCACCAAUGUCUCCCAACUAUCUAGCAACGAACUGAGAAGUAACAAAGCCUGUAACUCAUCAUCAAGACACAUCUUCAUAGAGGUUAACUGGUUAACAAUACUCUGUAUUUCAUUCAAAUGCUCAGCAGUAAAAGAUCCCUCCUUGUAUUUCAAAUUCACAAACUUCCUGAUCAAGAAUGCCUUGUUACCUGCUGUCUUUCUCUUGUAAAGACUUUCUAGCUUCUUCCAAAGAGAAUGGCAGAGUUCUCAGUGGAUACGUGGUGAAAAACACUAUCAUCAAGCCAUUGCCUAAUGAAGCCAAUAGUCUUCCGAUCUAGCCUUUUCCAUUCAUCAACUGAUGUCGCCUCUGGUUUUGUACUAUCUCCUUGCAGAGGUCCAUACAGGUCCUUGCAAUACAGGAGAUCCUCCAUUCUUGGUUUUCAUAUUGUCCAGUUGUUCCCAUUCAAGCUGAUCAUACGAGAAAUAUUUCCUGUUUCCAUAAUCACUAACAAAAACCACAGCUCUGAUACCAGUUGUUAGAGAUGAAAGCCCAAUAUGGACUUAGCGCGGAAGCUAGAAGACAGAAACGAAAUGAACAACUCACAACCGAAGACACAAGGAUUUACGUGGUUCGGAGGUUGGCCUCCUAUGUCCACGGGCGGCGAUGAAAAAUUCCACUAGAUGUAGAAGAAGUACAGAAUAGCACUCCCAGAACCCAGAAUAUAGACCUCUAAUCUUGGCCCUCAAAGAACUCACUAGUCCCUCACCAACAAGUAGA
This 4917-nucleotide long non-coding RNA is filed under the name Spirodela polyrhiza (greater duckweed). Its description in RNAcentral is "long non-coding RNA (SPOL_LNC001941)". The record is from RNAcentral. Lineage: Eukaryota; Viridiplantae; Streptophyta; Magnoliopsida; Alismatales; Araceae.